UCAAAUAUCAACACUCAAAACAUAUAUGCAUGUUCAAAUCAAAAGGUCUUUUAUGGAUGUAAUGGGGCCAAGGAACAGGGAGGAUAUAUAGGUAAGAAGCUACAAACCAAAAGAAAUAGAGGAGCAAUGGGGAACAAGUGUAAACACAGUCAAAUAACAUCCAAACCCUCUAAUUCAAUCCUCUUCUUGACUCCAUCAUCCACACAAUUUUUUUUUAUUUUCUCAUUUUUCUGUAUUUUUUUUUCUUUUUUUUCAUCUUGUCUCUUUUCUUUU
RNAcentral lists this long non-coding RNA (273 nucleotides) under Vigna radiata. RNAcentral's name for it is "long non-coding RNA (VRAD_LNC016552)". The record is from RNAcentral. Lineage: Eukaryota; Viridiplantae; Streptophyta; Magnoliopsida; Fabales; Fabaceae.